Molecule: unclassified non-coding RNA, 2315 nt
Filed under: Haliotis rufescens (red abalone)
Lineage: Eukaryota; Metazoa; Mollusca; Gastropoda; Lepetellida; Haliotidae
Description: cOP9 signalosome complex subunit 5-like, transcript variant X1
Source: RNAcentral
UAGUCGAAGGAAAAUGGAUUCUAAAAAUGCACAGAAAAGUUGGGAACUCAGCAAUAGCAUCGAAAGUGUUAAUAGCACAGAUGAUAUCUACCGUUAUGACAACAAACAGCAACAAGAUAUAUUAACAGCAAAACCUUGGGAAAGAGAUCCCCACUAUUUCAAGCACAUCAAGAUCUCUGCUCUGGCACUGCUGAAGAUGGUGAUGCAUGCAAGGUCAGGGGGAAAUCUGGAAGUGAUGGGGCUGCUCCUAGGGAAAACUGAUGGCAACACAAUGAUUGUCAUGGAUGGUGUAGCUCUCCCGGUGGAAGGAACUGAGACUAGGGUGAAUGCUCAGGCUCAGGCGUAUGAAUACAUGGCUGCUUACACUGAGGCUGCCAAACAGGUUGCCAGACUUGAGAAUGCCAUAGGCUGGUACCACAGUCACCCUGGUUACGGCUGCUGGUUGUCUGGUAUUGAUGUCAGCACUCAGAUGUUGAACCAGCAGUUCCAGGAACCGUUUGUAGCCAUUGUGAUCGACCCUGUGAGAACUAUAUCUGCAGGUAAAGUGAACAUAGGAGCAUUCAGGACAUACCCCAAGGGUUACAAACCUCCGGAUGAGACCCCUUCUGAGUAUCAGACCAUCCCACUCAACAAGAUUGAAGACUUUGGUGUGCAUUGUAAACACUACUAUUCGCUUGAGAUCUCCUACUUCAAAUCAGCUUUAGAUCGACGACUAUUGGAGUCACUGUGGAACAAAUACUGGGUCAACACACUCAGCUCCUCCAGUCUUCUCACAAAUGCGGACUACAUGACUGGUCAGAUCUACGACCUGUCCGACAAGCUGGAGCAGUCCGAGGCGCAGCUGGGGAGGGGGGGCUUCAUGCUAGGGAUGGACACACAUGAGAAGAAGUCCGAGGACAAGCUACUUAAGGCUACCAAAGAUGGGUGCAAGACCACCAUUGAGGCUAUUCACGGCCUCAUGUCGCAGGUUAUCAAAGACCGACUGUUCAACCAAGUCCAUUUACCCACCCCUCAGUGAAGAAGCGGAGUCCUCGCAACAGAUGUAUAUAACUUAUGAUAGUGUCCCCUAAGCAAGGCGACACUGCAUACUACGUCAUUGUAUUGUUUGCCAAUCACCAGUGUUUAUGAACAUGAACUUGCUACAAAUUACAGGAAUAGAACAACUGUUGAAGAUCAUAUAUGCACAUGGAACGAAAUAGGGGUGGCAUAUCAUUUUGUUUGAUGAAUGAUCACCUAUAUUCUCAGGCGGGACACUUGAUGACAUUGUAGUGGUACACAAGAUACAAAUAACUUUUUUCAUUUGUUAAUAUGAAACAAUUAUAAGCUUUCUUAUGCUGUAUUUCUGUAUGUUCCUGUUUUUUUAUUUUCAUCACUAGCGAUACUCAAGCUUGGGGAGAUUCUUUUAUGUUUCAGUGGGUAAAGAAGAAAGUUUAUGUCUUAAGAAUCUUCAUUUUGUAUGUAUUUGAGUAGAACUCGAAAUGUCCAUGGGUCAAUCUUAACACCCCAGUGUUAGGACAGAUAUCAGUAUGAGGGUUGAAAAUUUACGAGUACUUUUUUGGAUCAACCAUGAGUUCCUGUAAAGACUGACCACAGUUUCCGUUCAGUCCAGUGUUCAGUUCUUGCUUGUCUUCUCUCCUAUCAGUUCAGGGUUUCAGUUCUCGCUUGUCUUCUCUCCUAUCAGUCCAGGGUUUCAGUUCUCGCUUAUCUUCUCUCCUAUCAGUCCAGGGUUUCAGUUCUCGCUUGUCUUCUCUCCUAUCAGUCCAGGGUUUCAGUUCUCGCUUGUCUUCUCUCCUAUCAGUCCAGGGUUUCAGUUCUCGCUUGUCUUCUCUCCUAUCAGUUCAGGGUUUCAGUUAUCGCUUGUCUUCUCUCCUAUCAGUCCAGGGUUUCAGUUCUCGCUUGUCUUCUCUCCUAUCAGUCCAGGGUUUCAGUUCCCGCUUGUCCUCUUUGGUCAUAUUCUUCCUUAAUAAUUUGUCAUUCUAAGGAACUACCAGGUAAGUUACUGAUAAUUGUUAUUUAAAUGUUGUGGCUUAAGAUACAAUUCUGAAUUCAUAUCACUUAAUGGUAAGAGUGUCGCUGUAAAAUCUGAUGAAUAUAAAUGACGUUCUUAAUUUUUAGCGAUCAUCAUUACAGAGUAAUGGCACAGGUCGUGACCUCACUUCAAUGCGAGUAGUUCUGUAUUUGUUCUGUCUCACCACAGGAAAACAGAUCCUUUUGUUGAUCCUUUGUGCUAAAGUGCUAUUGUUCCAACUUUCGAAUCUUAAAGUGUAUUUGUACAGAAAGUGCUGUCAAAUGUUGACAAUAAAUACCAAACUGUG